Molecule: ribosomal RNA, 491 nt
Filed under: uncultured bacterium
Lineage: Bacteria
Description: bacterial SSU rRNA
Rfam family: Bacterial small subunit ribosomal RNA
Source: RNAcentral
UAUGGAAGGCAGCAGUGGGGAAUAUUGCACAAUGGGCGCAAGCCUGAUGCAGCCAUGCCGCGUGUAUGAAGAAGGCCUUCGGGUUGUAAAGUACUUUCAGUCGUGAGGAAGGUGUUAAGGUUAAUAACCUUAGCAAUUGACGUUAGCGACAGAAGAAGCACCGGCUAACUCCGUGCCAGCAGCCGCGGUAAUACGGAGGGUGCGAGCGUUAAUCGGAAUUACUGGGCGUAAAGGGCACGCAGGCGGUUAAUUAAGUUGGAUGUGAAAUCCCCGGGCUUAACCUGGGAAUGGCAUUCAAGACUGGUUAGCUAGAGUCUUGUAGAGGGGGUAGAAUUCCAUGUGUAGCGGUGAAAUGCGUAGAGAUGUGGAGGAAUACCGGUGGCGAAGGCGGCCCCUGGGCAAAGACUGACGCUCAUGUGCGAAAGCGUGGGGAGCAAACAGGGAUUAGGAUACCCUCUGGAGGACUCAAAGGGCAACAACAAGGGGAUAGG